GUGACAUGACUUCCUGUAGUCACUUCUUUUGGGCAGUACAGAAAAUGUUUGUCCAGUACUUCUCUGUGAUCGUUUGUCACAGCGACCUCAAGCUCGCUACUCAUUGAAUUGAAUUAUUUUUCACCUUAUCUGAGAUACUUUGGGACACUUUGGAUAGAAAAUGUUUGUAGUAAAGUUUGGGAUUUUCUGCAUUUGUCUCCUGUGUUGCUGUAAUAGGAGUGAAGCCAAAGAACUCGUGGUCAAGAACAGGACUAGCGUGGCAUUAGCAGGAGAAACGCUCAGCAUUAACAUCAUGGUCACUGUCCCAGUCAACAGCAGUGGAACAAAAGUUUCUUGCAAAUAUAAAAACAUAGAGGUGUGGAGGCACACAUUUAAACAUGUGUAUUCUGUUCCUACACCCAUGUGGCUGUGGGCUAAUAUCUCCAUGCCUAACAGCUCCUUCAGUGGGGAGUACAGCUUCAAUUACCAAGCAUCAGUGCUUCCCUGGCUGGUUCUUGUACGAGAUGUGGGUUAUGUCAAGCCGGGUGAACCUCUACACAGUGAUGUCAUCGCUUUGCUGACUGUCACCCUCAUUUUAGUCCUUUUCAGCAUUAUCGGAUCAGUUUUCGUAGUCAGAUGGCACAAGGCUCCUCCUCAGACAGAGGUAAAAGAAGAUGGAGUAAAAGGCAGAGAAAGACAGAGCAGUGUCGGUGUAACCACUCAGGUUGCACACUCUGAAUCGGUGUACUCGUCGCUGGAACCCAGACCGGUCUCUAUUUAUGAUGUGCUGAAUGUCGACCAGGUCAGACGGGAAAGCACAGAGAAGCGCACCUCACAGGAAACGGUUGGUAAAGCUCUAGAGUCAGGAUGAGUUAGCAAACUUCACAUUGGUCAUUUAAACAGUGACAGUGUGACAGUAUACUGUGACUGAUAGUUGUGAAAUAUACUCUCAGAUGCUCUUAAAUAACACACACUGUUUCUCUUUCAGGCCAAGACAUCUCAGGCAGAAGAAGGAGUUUUUGAAUCUGUCUAUGAAAACCUGUGAAAGCUGUGAUUAAAUUCUAAUGUUAUGUAUGUAUGUAUGUAUGUAUGUAUGUAUGUACAGUUGGUAUGUCUAGGAAGCAUGUGUAUGGUCCCAGAAUCUGAAAACUUUUAUAUAUUAAUAUUUUGUCAACAUGCACAUAAAUAAAUAAAAGUCAACUAAUUUUCUACCUGGCCUA
This 1199-nucleotide long non-coding RNA is filed under the name Astyanax mexicanus (Mexican tetra). RNAcentral's name for it is "lncRNA (ENSAMXG00005006319.1)". Lineage: Eukaryota; Metazoa; Chordata; Actinopteri; Characiformes; Acestrorhamphidae. The record is from RNAcentral.